RNAcentral lists this ribosomal RNA (253 nucleotides) under uncultured bacterium. Its description in RNAcentral is "partial 16S ribosomal RNA". It matches the Rfam family "Bacterial small subunit ribosomal RNA", at positions 524 to 776 of the family's 1533-position model. The record is from RNAcentral.
UACGUAGGGUGCAAGCGUUGUCCGGAAUUAUUGGGCGUAAAGAGCGUGUAGGCGGCCCGAUUAGUCCGCUGUGAAAGUCCAGGGCUCAACCCUGGAAUGCCGGUGGAUACUGUCGGGCUAGAGUCCGGAAGGGGCGAGUGGAAUUCCUGGUGUAGCGGUGAAAUGCGCAGAGAUCGGGAGGAACACCCGUAGCGAAGGCGGCACUCUGGGCCGGUACUGACGCUGAGGAGCGAAAGCGUGGGGAGCAAACAGG